CUGCAUUGCCGAGGGCAAGGUCUCAGAGAUCUAGCAGGGAAGGCAUGUCAAUAGACCCUAGAAGGUCUGUAGACGAGAGCAGAAGAGGGAUGGUUAGAGGAGGUAGAUCUGAGGAAGAGAGGGAGGCCAUGGAGACUGAUCUGUCUAUGGAUGAAGGUAUGGGAGAAUCUCUGGGAGGUGUUCAGGUCUCAGGUUUUGAUUAUCCAGCUGUUUCCCAAGUUCCAGAGUAUCCAAUGGAGGGUAUGUCGGAGUACUCUCGAUUUGACCCAUAUCCUACAUCUAUGCCAUAUAUGCCAUAUCCUUACUAUUACCCAUCAUAUCCACCAUAUCCUAUGUAUCCACCCUCCCCUACCC
This 354-nucleotide long non-coding RNA is filed under the name Manihot esculenta (cassava). Its description in RNAcentral is "long non-coding RNA (MESC_LNC009044)". The record is from RNAcentral. Lineage: Eukaryota; Viridiplantae; Streptophyta; Magnoliopsida; Malpighiales; Euphorbiaceae.